Molecule: long non-coding RNA, 2617 nt
Organism: Esox lucius (northern pike)
Lineage: Eukaryota; Metazoa; Chordata; Actinopteri; Esociformes; Esocidae
Source: Ensembl
UCUGCUUUUUUUUUUUAUUACAGUAUUUUCUAGUUUAAGUAUUGCACGUCCAAGUUAGUUUAACAAACAAUAGUGCAAUUGACUAUACACGCGUUACAAACAGAAGGUACCAUGCGGCAUACAAACAAAGAUAAUACCAAGUAAACCCAUUUAGUUGGAUUCAGUUCUGUUUCCUAGUUACACAGACAGAGGGAGGGGCCUCGGGGAGAGAGCGGAGCUGCCUGCAGCUGCAGUAUAAAAGUGAGGGGCUGUCCAGGGUGCUGUGCGUCCUAUGGGCAAAAGGCCGGGCCAUAACGUCAUGAUGGCUCCUUCCUGAGGAAGACUUCCAAGUCUGGCUUAGAAGUAUGAGGGGGGUCUGUGAAGACCGUUAUAACAGGAUCCUUGGGGUCGCCACGUCAACCAAGUAGAAACACAAAAUGGUCAAAGUGUGGCCCAUUAGUUUUAUUAUCCGCGUUUGUCUGCUGACCAUGAUGCCUGCUGUCCAACUGUACAGGCACGAUGGGGUUUACAGGGCAAAGCAGCCCUUAGAUUAGAAUAGCGACGCCCAAAGGGUCCCAGAUAGCCAUGAACAAGGGAGUGGGGAUCAUAAUAGACUGAGCUCAUACUAAAACCUAUAUAUGCACAUUUUUAUGUGGCCAUUUUAUGUUUUGUCAGAUUACAAAAUUCAACUUUAUUCAGACGGGGUGUAAGAUUUUAACGUCUGUGUUUACUCUUGCUAAAGCUUAUAAAGUGUAUCUUUGGUCCAUGCUAAAACUUUGGUGAUUUGAAUUAACUUCUUAAAAUCUGUCAGACAGGUACUGUAGUGAACACAGAAAGACAAUGUGAUGUGAAAUAUUGUCAAUAAUGUAAUAAUGUUACAUUUUAGUAAUAUGGCUGAUUGGAUCUAAAGGAGAGAUUCAUGAAAAAAUAAAUCUGGUAGAUCCUGGCAGAAAGGAUUUUAGGAUGGUGGCACUAAAACCCAAAGUCAGAUGAACUUUUGGGUACCAGUUUAAAGUCUCAUGUAUAACGUUGAGUAAAUUUACUAGCAUUAGUGUUAUUGCUAACAGCACAAUUACCGGAAGUCCACAGGAACAAUUAGCAUGUAUAACAUUGUAUUUCAAUAAUGCUACAAUAUAACUCCUAUGCUCUUUGAGAGACAAAAACAGUAUUCAAGUUCAUCUGAAUUCAGGGAAGUAGAUAAAGAACAUCAAGUCCCAAACCCAAACCACCUAUUUAAGACAAACCAGAAUGGAUGACAGGGUAAAGCACAACUUGUGUCCCCACACACAUGAAUAACAACAUCAAUAGCCAGGACAUCAUUGGUUCUGUAUGUCAGCUCAUCAGGGGAAAGUUUACCAGCGGUCUGCAAGGUGGAUAUGAUGCCCGCGUUACUUCCUGGGGUUAGGUGACUUCAUCAGAUUCACAUAGUGCCGUUUUAAAACCGCUCCCAGCCAGAAACAGAGAUUGGGAAACACAUGUCCCUUUAUUUGUAGUUUCAGGCCCUUCUCUAUGAUCAAUAUUGGAUGAAAAAACUAUGAGAAAAUAGUGACAGACUUCUUAAAUGCUCAUAUUAACCGUUAGCUAAAGAGGGGUCAUAAUUUUUCAUGUCAUGGGUAAUAGCUCAGACAAGCAGCAUCUCAAUAAAGAGGGGAAAUCAGAGCAUUAGCAGAAACAACACAGACAUACAAUUCAUAGCCCAGCAUCCUGCCCUUUCUUUAACACGGCCUUAGUUCCCAUUCUUUCUAAAACUUUGUCCAAUCAAAGUGUUCCAUCUGAAAAUCUUGUCCAAUCAAAGUUUCCCAUCCCGUGGUAUAGUCCCUCCUACCCACUUGACAGUUCCAACAGGAGGAGGUCUGUGUCCAUGACAGCCAGAGUGACUUACAAAGCUCCAACAUCUGGUUCCAGUUCAAGUUCACACGGCUUGCUGCCUCAACAGUUCCAGGUAAUGCAAGCCUGGCUGAGUUCCUAUGAAAACAGACCUUUUCAAACUGUCUAUCUGUCUGUCUGUCUGUCUGUCUGUCUGUGUGAGUGAGAAAGAGUGAAGUGAGGAUGGUGUGACUCAGUUAAGUCUGAAUACCACCCCCCCCCCCCUUUUUUUUCUCCUUCUAUUCCAGCAGUGUGCGAAGGAUCUUCUAGGAAAGGCAGAUAAUGUUCUAGGAAAGCCAGAUCUCCACAUGUAGAAAAACAUAGCAAAGACACGUUGGUAUCGCUGCCCAAGGCACUGUUUGUUCUCUGCUCUGUCUCCUGCCUCUGUAAGAGCAGAACAGCCCUGGUGCUGCCGGGUCUCUACCUGGAGUACAGAGGGCCUCUGUCAGCCGGAGGGGGCCACACCUCUGGUCCCGUGCCUCCAGUUGUCGGGGGUGCUGGGGCCCCGACGUGGGAACAGGAAGAGGGAUGUGACACCUCAUCAGCAUCCACAUUGGUUUCUGUGGGUUUCGAGGCUCACUUACUAAACAGGCUCCCCUCUUCUCCUCUCUCCUUACUCCUUCAGCUGGAAAGCUCAGCGAGGUUUAUUUUCACGGAUGAGGAGUAAAAACAGCGCUCUCUUUGUUUUGGCUGCCGUGCUGUUCCCAGCGGAGGAGGUGGAGGAGCAGAGCGCCGGGUCUGAGGGGGGGCUGAGGGAGACCACAGGCCGGGG